This 359-nucleotide RNase P RNA is filed under the name Betaproteobacteria bacterium HGW-Betaproteobacteria-13. RNAcentral describes it as "RNase P RNA component class A". It matches the Rfam family "Bacterial RNase P class A". From Rfam's summary of the family: Ribonuclease P (RNase P) is a ubiquitous endoribonuclease, found in archaea, bacteria and eukarya as well as chloroplasts and mitochondria. Its best characterised activity is the generation of mature 5'-ends of tRNAs by cleaving the 5'-leader elements of precursor-tRNAs. Cellular RNase Ps are ribonucleoproteins. The record is from RNAcentral. Lineage: Bacteria; Pseudomonadati; Pseudomonadota; Betaproteobacteria.
GAAGUUCGCCAGGCAGUCGCUGUGCACCUUCGGGUGUGUGGAGGAAAGUCCGGGCCCCGCAGAGCAGGAUGAGGCGACGGAAAGUGCAACAGAGAGCAGACCGCCGAUGGCUUUCGCAAGAAAGAUCAGGUAAGGGUGAAAGGGUGGGGUAAGAGCCCACCGCAGGACUGGCAACAGGACUGGCACGGUAAACCCCAUCCGGGGCAAGGCCAAAUAGGGGAGUAAUGGCGUGGCUCGCGUCGCUCCCGGGUAGGCUGCUAGAGCUUCACGGUAACGUGUCGCCCAGAGGAAUGACUGCCCGAUGAUCCGGUUUGCGCUGGAUCGUUCGACAGAACCCGGCUUAUCGGCGAACUUCCCAA